RNAcentral lists this ribosomal RNA (260 nucleotides) under Escherichia coli. Its description in RNAcentral is "partial 16S ribosomal RNA". It matches the Rfam family "Bacterial small subunit ribosomal RNA", at positions 1 to 257 of the family's 1533-position model. Lineage: Bacteria; Pseudomonadati; Pseudomonadota; Gammaproteobacteria; Enterobacterales; Enterobacteriaceae. The record is from RNAcentral.
AAAUUGAAGAGUUUGAUCAUGGCUCAGAUUGAACGCUGGCGGCAGGCCUAACACAUGCAAGUCGAACGGUAACAGAAAGAAGCUUGCGUCUUUGACGACGAGUGCCGGACGGGAGAGCAAUGACUGUGAAUCUGCCUGGUGGAGGGGGAUAACUACUGGAAACGGUAGCUAAUACCGCAUAACGUGGCAAGAUCAAAGAGGGGGACCUUCGGGCCUCUUGCCAUCGGCUGUGCCCAGAUGGGCUUAGAUUGUUGGUGGGG